UACGUAGGCAGCAAGCGUUGUUCGGAGUUACUGGGCGUAAAGAGUGCGUAGGCGGUUCUCUAAGUUUGGUGUGAAAUCUCCCGGCUCAACUGGGAGGGUGCGCCGAAAACUGGAGGGCUCGAGUGUGGGAGAGGAGAGCGGAAUUCCUGGUGUAGCGGUGAAAUGCGUAGAUAUCAGGAGGAACACCUGCGGUGCAGACGGCUCUCUGGACCACCACUGACGCUGAGGCACGAAAGCGUGGGGAG
Molecule: ribosomal RNA, 245 nt
Filed under: uncultured bacterium
Lineage: Bacteria
Description: partial 16S ribosomal RNA
Rfam family: Bacterial small subunit ribosomal RNA
Source: RNAcentral